This 209-nucleotide long non-coding RNA is filed under the name Nicotiana benthamiana. Its description in RNAcentral is "long non-coding RNA (NBEN_LNC005777)". Lineage: Eukaryota; Viridiplantae; Streptophyta; Magnoliopsida; Solanales; Solanaceae. The record is from RNAcentral.
GUAAACUAAACGUCAGAAAUUAGUAAACAAUAUUACCAUAGGAAAUCAGUAAAGCGUAUCGAUCACAGAAAAAUAGGGAUUAAAAUAGAAAUAGCAAAGGAAAUUACCACAUAUUUCUGUCAAUAAACAAAGUAGAUAUAAUAUAGGUAGGAGAAGCAAAAUCAGAAACCCUAAUGAGCAUAAGGGCGUAGAAAAUCAUGGAGGCUCAG